UACGUAGGGGGCUAGCGUUGUCCGGAAUCAUUGGGCGUAAAGCGCGUGUAGGCGGCCCGGUAAGUCCGCUGUGAAAGUCGGGGGCUCAACCCUCGGAUGCCGGUGGAUACUGUCGGGCUCGAGUACGGAAGAGGCGAGUGGAAUUCCUGGUGUAGCGGUGGAAUGCGCAGAUAUCAGGAGGAACACCAAUAGCGAAGGCAGCUCGCUGGGACGUUACUGACACUAAGGCGCGAAAGCGUGGGGAGCGAACAGG
RNAcentral lists this ribosomal RNA (253 nucleotides) under uncultured bacterium. RNAcentral describes it as "partial 16S ribosomal RNA". It matches the Rfam family "Bacterial small subunit ribosomal RNA", at positions 524 to 776 of the family's 1533-position model. The record is from RNAcentral.